GUGGGGAAUAUUGGACAAUGGGGGGAACCCUGAUCCAGCCAUGCCGCGUGUGUGAAGAAGGCCUUUUGGUUGUAAAGCACUUUAAGCGAGGAGGAGGCUACCGAGAUUAAUACUCUUGGAUAGUGGACGUUACUCGCAGAAUAAGCACCGGCUAACUCUGUGCCAGCAGCCGCGGUAAUACAGAGGGUGCAAGCGUUAAUCGGAUUUACUGGGCGUAAAGUGCGCGUAGGUGGCCAAUUAAGUCAAAUGUGAAAUCCCCGAGCUUAACUUGGGAAUUGCAUUCGAUACUGGUUGGCUAGAGUAUGGGAGAGGAUGGUAGAAUUCCAGGUGUAGCGGUGAAAUGCGUAGAGAUCUGGAGGAAUACCGAUGGCGAAGGCAGCCAUCUGGCCUAAUACUGACGCUGAGGUACGAAAGCAUGGGGAGCAAACAGGAUUAGAUACCCCAGUAGUCC
This 451-nucleotide ribosomal RNA is filed under the name uncultured bacterium. RNAcentral's name for it is "partial 16S ribosomal RNA". It matches the Rfam family "Bacterial small subunit ribosomal RNA", at positions 354 to 796 of the family's 1533-position model. The record is from RNAcentral.